Molecule: ribosomal RNA, 490 nt
Filed under: uncultured bacterium
Lineage: Bacteria
Description: partial 16S ribosomal RNA
Rfam family: Bacterial small subunit ribosomal RNA
Source: RNAcentral
GAUGAACGCUAGCUACAGGCUUAACACAUGCAAGUCGCGGGGCAGCAUGGGGGUUGCUUGCAAUCCCCGAUGGCGACCGGCGCACGGGUGAGUAACGCGUAUCCAACCUGCCCUUCACCACGGGAUAACCCGGCGAAAGUCGGACUAAUACCGUAUGUUGUCCAUUGACGGCAUCCGAUUUGGACGAGAGGUUUGGCGGUGAAGGAUGGGGAUGCGUCCGAUUAGCUGGACGGCGGGGUGACGGCCCACCGUGGCGACGAUCGGUAGGGGUUCUGAGAGGAAGGUCCCCCACACUGGAACUGAGACACGGUCCAGACUCCUACGGGAGGCAGCAGUGAGGAAUAUUGGUCAAUGGGCGUAAGCCUGAACCAGCCAAGUAGCGUGCAGGAUGACGGCCCUAUGGGUUGUAAACUGCUUUUAUGCGGGGAUAAAGUGGCCCACGUGUGGGUUUUUGCAGGUACCGCAUGAAUAAGGACCGGCUAAUUCCGUG